CGGCGGACGGGUGAGUAACACGUGGAUAACCUACCUAUAAGACUGGGAUAACUUCGGGAAACCGGAGCUAAUACCGGAUAAUAUAUUGAACCGCAUGGUUCAAUAGUGAAAGACGGUUUUGCUGUCACUUAUAGAUGGAUCCGCGCCGCAUUAGCUAGUUGGUAAGGUAACGGCUUACCAAGGCAACGAUGCGUAGCCGACCUGAGAGGGUGAUCGGCCACACUGGAACUGAGACGCGGUCCAGACUCCUACGGGAGGCAGCAGUC
This 266-nucleotide ribosomal RNA is filed under the name uncultured Staphylococcus sp. Its description in RNAcentral is "partial 16S ribosomal RNA". It matches the Rfam family "Bacterial small subunit ribosomal RNA", at positions 96 to 355 of the family's 1533-position model. Lineage: Bacteria; Bacillati; Bacillota; Bacilli; Caryophanales; Staphylococcaceae. The record is from RNAcentral.